This 121-nucleotide non-coding RNA is filed under the name Citrifermentans bemidjiense. RNAcentral describes it as "Geobacter bemidjiensis MoCo sequence". It matches the Rfam family "Molybdenum/Tungsten riboswitch aptamer (Moco RNA motif)". RNAcentral also lists the same sequence under 1 other name. Lineage: Bacteria; Pseudomonadati; Thermodesulfobacteriota; Desulfuromonadia; Geobacterales; Geobacteraceae. The record is from RNAcentral.
UAAGCAGAUAGUCUCCGAGCCGCAGCCUUCUAAAGGGAGUACCCCCACGAAGCUUUGGCCGUUGGGUGCCGCCGGAAACGGCGCCGCCUCCCCUUUGGAAAGGAGAACCGCCGCCGCUUUC